Arachis ipaensis is the source of this 1128-nucleotide non-coding RNA. NCBI's taxonomy places the organism in Eukaryota, Viridiplantae, Streptophyta, Magnoliopsida, Fabales, Fabaceae. The record is from RefSeq and is a predicted model, not a curated record.
GAGAUUGUAGAGAUCUUACGUGGCGGGCAUUGAAUCCAUUGAUUUGAUUCUCUUUCUCUCUCAAAGGAUAUUUGCUACCUUUGGAUAAGAGAGAAAGAAAGAGGAGUAAAACAAUGGCAAUGGCAAUGGCAAUGGCGAGUUCUACUUCUGCUAAUAUCACUGUUAUUCAUCGAUGCCUUCCUCCUCCAAACAGAGUAAAAGCGUUGCGGCUUCGUGUUGUUAACUCAACUCAACACAAUCAAGAACACAAUACCUCACAGUCACAGGAAGAAGCAUCAGUGAAGGUUUCAAGGCGCGUGUGUCUAACGUGCAUGUGUUCGAGUGCAGCUCUGUCUCUAAUUGCAGCUGCACCAAAUUCAACUGCUGCGGCGGGAAUGGAGAAAGCAGUGUGUAGAAACUGCGGCGGAAGUGGUGCUAUCAUCUGUGACAUGUGCGGUGGUACCGGAAAAUGGAAAGCUCUCAACAGGAAACGCGCCAAAGAUGUUUAUGAAUUCACUGAGUGUCCUAAUUGUUACGGUCGAGGAAAGCUUGUGUGUCCAGUUUGCUUAGGAACUGGGUUGCCAAACAAUAAAGGUCUCCUAAGGAGGCCUGAUGCGCGAAAACUACUUGAUAAGAUGUAUAAUGGACGCCUACUUCCAAACUCUUAAGAAAAAUGAAUCAAAUCUGUAGAUGUUCACACUUCAUACCUUUCUUGUCCAUUCAAGGAGGAAUAUUCAAGGUAAUUCAUGCUUGAAUAAGUGGGAAUUGGCCAAUUGGGAAAUAGCAAUUAAGCCCACCUUCAAACAAACCAAAAGAAAGGCAUAUUGGAUGGCUAUUUGUAACUUGACAUAAGUGAACUAGAGGUAGAUGAGGAGCACUUAGAUUUUCGAAGCUUCUUUUCAACGGUGCUCAACCUAUCUUCACUGUUCUUAAGCUCGCGCCCCAUUUGUUUGAGCAUUUUGCGCGUGGAUCGUAUCAUCCCUCGUUUCUCUUUUACAAUCAUUGUGAGUAUAUCCAAUGUAUCCUCUUCAGGUUGGAGGCGACAUGGAAAAUAUGAUGUUUUCUCAUAGUGUUUGUUAAGGAACUCAUCUUCUGAGUACAUUUGUAACUUAUCAAUGUCAUAUGUUACCAUCUUUUUCUUACCUUUGA